GAUGAACGCUGGCGGCGUGCCUAAUACAUGCAAGUCGAGCGAACGGACGAGAAGCUUGCUUCUCUGAUGUUAGCGGCGGACGGGUGAGUAACACGUGGAUAACCUACCUAUAAGACUGGGAUAACUUCGGGAAACCGGAGCUAAUACCGGAUAAUAUUCUGAACCGCAUGGUUCAAAAGUGAAAGACGGUCUUGCUGUCACUUAUAGAUGGAUCCGCGCUGCAUUAGCUAGUUGGUAAGGUAACGGCUUACCAAGGCAACGAUGCAUAGCCGACCUGAGAGGCUGAUCGGCCACACUGGAACUGAGACACGGUCCAGACUCCUCCGGGAGGCAGCAGUAGGGAAUCUUCCGCAAUGGGCGAAAGCCUGACGGAGCAACGCCGCGUGAGUGAUGAAGGUCUUCGGAUCGUAAAACUCUGUUAUUAGGGAAGAACAUAUGUGUAAGUAACUGUGCACAUCUUGACGGUACCUAAUCAGAAAGCCACGGCUAACUACGUG
This 497-nucleotide ribosomal RNA is filed under the name uncultured bacterium. RNAcentral describes it as "partial 16S ribosomal RNA". It matches the Rfam family "Bacterial small subunit ribosomal RNA", at positions 28 to 507 of the family's 1533-position model. The record is from RNAcentral.